RNAcentral lists this long non-coding RNA (468 nucleotides) under Brassica napus (rape). RNAcentral describes it as "long non-coding RNA (BNAP_LNC007689)". The record is from RNAcentral. Lineage: Eukaryota; Viridiplantae; Streptophyta; Magnoliopsida; Brassicales; Brassicaceae.
CAUGGAAUUUACGAAGAGUUAGGACUUCAGCAACAGUUUUUUUAUUUCCGCUUUCACGUUUAAGAUAGUAAUAAAGCACCUGUCAUCCUGAAGACUUGAUAUGUUUUACCUGAGGUCUGGCUCAUAACAUGUUCACAGAAACCCUCAGAACAAAGAAGAGGAAUAAUUCAUUCAUAUCAAACUUCUUAAGGAUUUUGAUAAAUUAUUAGCGGCUGGAAGCACCCGCUUCUUCUGCUUCCUGGUUCUGCUUCUAUCCAGGGCCGCCUCUGCAUCGAUUCAAGAGAAAAGCAUAGCUCAAGUCAAACUCAAGUCAAAAUCAGAGAAUGAUUAAUGUGAUUUAAAGUUAACAAGAGUCAGGAUUUUCACAAUUAGCAAAUUGUAACUACAAAUAUUGUCGGUAUUGUACGUAGUUCUUCACUAGUUCACUAGACAUCUAGCUUCUUCUUUUUUAGUUUUUUUGUCAACUCA